Molecule: transfer RNA, 67 nt
Filed under: Heleodromia immaculata
Lineage: Eukaryota; Metazoa; Arthropoda; Insecta; Diptera; Empididae
Description: tRNA-Ser
Source: RNAcentral
AGGAAAUAAAGGCAAAAAAAAAGCUGCUAACUUUUUUAUUUAAUGGUUAAAUUCCAUUUAUAUUUCU